This 2925-nucleotide ribosomal RNA is filed under the name Klebsiella aerogenes. Its description in RNAcentral is "bacterial LSU rRNA". It matches the Rfam family "Bacterial large subunit ribosomal RNA". The record is from RNAcentral. Lineage: Bacteria; Pseudomonadati; Pseudomonadota; Gammaproteobacteria; Enterobacterales; Enterobacteriaceae.
GGGUUGUGAGGUUAAGCGACUAAGCGUACACGGUGGAUGCCCUGGCAGUCAGAGGCGAUGAAGGACGUGCUAAUCUGCGAAAAGCGUCGGUAAGGUGAUAUGAACCGUUACAGCCGGCGAUGUCCGAAUGGGGAAACCCAGUGCAAUUCGUUGCACUAUCGUUAACUGAAUACAUAGGUUAACGAGGCGAACCGGGGGAACUGAAACAUCUAAGUACCCCGAGGAAAAGAAAUCAACCGAGAUUCCCCCAGUAGCGGCGAGCGAACGGGGAGCAGCCCAGAGUCUGAAUCAGCUUGUGUGUUAGUGGAACGGUCUGGAAAGUCCGACGGUACAGGGUGAUAGUCCCGUACACCAAAAUGCACAGGUUGUGAACUCGAAGAGUAGGGCGGGACACGUGGUAUCCUGUCUGAAUAUGGGGGGACCAUCCUCCAAGGCUAAAUACUCCUGACUGACCGAUAGUGAACCAGUACCGUGAGGGAAAGGCGAAAAGAACCCCGGCGAGGGGAGUGAAAAAGAACCUGAAACCGUGUACGUACAAGCAGUGGGAGCACCUUCGGGUGUGACUGCGUACCUUUUGUAUAAUGGGUCAGCGACUUAUAUUCUGUAGCAAGGUUAACCGUAUAGGGGAGCCGCAGGGAAACCGAGUCUUAACUGGGCGUUAAGUUGCAGGGUAUAGACCCGAAACCCGGUGAUCUAGCCAUGGGCAGGUUGAAGGUUGGGUAACACUAACUGGAGGACCGAACCGACUAAUGUUGAAAAAUUAGCGGAUGACUUGUGGCUGGGGGUGAAAGGCCAAUCAAACCGGGAGAUAGCUGGUUCUCCCCGAAAGCUAUUUAGGUAGCGCCUCGUGAACUCAUCUUCGGGGGUAGAGCACUGUUUCGGCUAGGGGGUCAUCCCGACUUACCAACCCGAUGCAAACUACGAAUACCGAAGAAUGUUAUCACGGGAGACACACGGCGGGUGCUAACGUCCGUCGUGAAGAGGGAAACAACCCAGACCGCCAGCUAAGGUCCCAAAGUCACAGUUAAGUGGGAAACGAUGUGGGAAGGCACAGACAGCCAGGAUGUUGGCUUAGAAGCAGCCAUCAUUUAAAGAAAGCGUAAUAGCUCACUGGUCGAGUCGGCCUGCGCGGAAGAUGUAACGGGGCUAAACUGUGCACCGAAGCUGCGGCAGCGACACUAUGUGUUGUUGGGUAGGGGAGCGUUCUGUAAGCCUGCGAAGGUGGCCUGUGAGGGUUGCUGGAGGUAUCAGAAGUGCGAAUGCUGACAUAAGUAACGAUAAUGCGGGUGAAAAGCCCGCACGCCGGAAGACCAAGGGUUCCUGUCCAACGUUAAUCGGGGCAGGGUGAGUCGACCCCUAAGGCGAGGCCGAAAGGCGUAGUCGAUGGGAAACAGGUUAAUAUUCCUGUACUUGGUGUUACUGCGAAGGGGGGACGGAGAAGGCUAUGUUAGCCGGGCGACGGUUGUCCCGGUUUAAGCAUGUAGGCGGAGGUUCCAGGUAAAUCCGGUACCUUUUAACGCUGAGGUGUGAUGACGAGGCACUACGGUGCUGAAGUAACAAAUGCCCUGCUUCCAGGAAAAGCCUCUAAGCAUCAGGUAACAUUGAAUCGUACCCCAAACCGACACAGGUGGUCAGGUAGAGAAUACCAAGGCGCUUGAGAGAACUCGGGUGAAGGAACUAGGCAAAAUGGUGCCGUAACUUCGGGAGAAGGCACGCUGAUAUGUAGGUGAAGCCCCUGCGGGUGGAGCUGAAAUCAGUCGAAGAUACCAGCUGGCUGCAACUGUUUAUUAAAAACACAGCACUGUGCAAACACGAAAGUGGACGUAUACGGUGUGACGCCUGCCCGGUGCCGGAAGGUUAAUUGAUGGGGUUAUCCGUAAGGAGAAGCUCUUGAUCGAAGCCCCGGUAAACGGCGGCCGUAACUAUAACGGUCCUAAGGUAGCGAAAUUCCUUGUCGGGUAAGUUCCGACCUGCACGAAUGGCGUAAUGAUGGCCAGGCUGUCUCCACCCGAGACUCAGUGAAAUUGAACUCGCUGUGAAGAUGCAGUGUACCCGCGGCAAGACGGAAAGACCCCGUGAACCUUUACUAUAGCUUGACACUGAACAUUGAGCCUUGAUGUGUAGGAUAGGUGGGAGGCUUUGAAGCGUGGACGCCAGUCUGCGUGGAGCCAACCUUGAAAUACCACCCUUUAAUGUUUGAUGUUCUAACGUUGGCCCCUGACCGGGGUUGCGGACAGUGUCUGGUGGGUAGUUUGACUGGGGCGGUCUCCUCCCAAAGAGUAACGGAGGAGCACGAAGGUUAGCUAAUCCUGGUCGGACAUCAGGAGGUUAGUGCAAUGGCAUAAGCUAGCUUGACUGCGAGCGUGACGGCGCGAGCAGGUGCGAAAGCAGGUCAUAGUGAUCCGGUGGUUCUGAAUGGAAGGGCCAUCGCUCAACGGAUAAAAGGUACUCCGGGGAUAACAGGCUGAUACCGCCCAAGAGUUCAUAUCGACGGCGGUGUUUGGCACCUCGAUGUCGGCUCAUCACAUCCUGGGGCUGAAGUAGGUCCCAAGGGUAUGGCUGUUCGCCAUUUAAAGUGGUACGCGAGCUGGGUUUAGAACGUCGUGAGACAGUUCGGUCCCUAUCUGCCGUGGGCGCUGGAGAAUUGAGGGGGGCUGCUCCUAGUACGAGAGGACCGGAGUGGACGCAUCACUGGUGUUCGGGUUGUCAUGCCAAUGGCAUUGCCCGGUAGCUAAAUGCGGAAGAGAUAAGUGCUGAAAGCAUCUAAGCACGAAACUUGCCCCGAGAUGAGUUCUCCCUGACUCCUUGAGAGUCCUGAAGGAACGUUAAAGACGAUGACGUUGAUAGGUCGGGUGUGUAAGCGUAGCGAUACGUUGAGCUAACCGAUACUAAUGAACCGUGAGGCUUAACCUUACAACGCCGAAG